RNAcentral lists this unclassified non-coding RNA (1354 nucleotides) under uncultured Neocallimastigales. Its description in RNAcentral is "partial contains small subunit ribosomal RNA, internal transcribed spacer 1, 5.8S ribosomal RNA, internal transcribed spacer 2, and large subunit ribosomal RNA". The stretch from base 610 to 1354 matches the Rfam family "Eukaryotic large subunit ribosomal RNA", at positions 1 to 608 of the family's 3401-position model. Lineage: Eukaryota; Fungi; Neocallimastigomycota; Neocallimastigomycetes; Neocallimastigales. The record is from RNAcentral.
GGAAGUAAAAGUCGUAACAAGGUUUCCGUAGGUGAACCUGCGGAAGGAUCAUUAAAAAUGUGGUACGAUUUUGUACUAAUUAAUCAUCCUACCCUUGUGAAUUUGUUUGUAACAAUUUUUUAAAUGGUCUUUCCUAAGUUGGAUUGUAGUAAAAUACAAAAAGACUUAGGGAAUGACUUUUUAAAAGACUUUUUUUAAUUAAACUUUUUGUAUUCAUUUGUCUAAAAUUUAUUUUUAUAAUAUAAAAACAACUUUUGACAAUGGAUCUCUUGGUUCUCGCAACGAUGAAGAACGCAGCAAAUGCGAUAAGUAGUGUGAAUUGCAGAAUACGUGAAUCAUCGAAUCUCGAACGCAUAUUGCACUUUUUAGUUUACUAAAAAAGUAUGUCUGUUUGAGUAUCAGUAAAAUAUUCUCACAAACAUAUAUGUUUGUGGUUAUGAGUGUUUUACAACGAUAAACAAGUUGUUUCACUUUAAAUUCUUUUUAAUUGAAUUUUACCAAUUCAUAAAUAAAUUGGAUAAAUUUUCCUUUAACCGAGAAUAACCUAAACAAUUUUAAUUUAUGGAUUAAUAAACAUUCAUCAAAGGAAUCUAAUUAUACAUAAUAACUUGAUCUCAAAUCAGAUAAGAGUACCCGCUGAACUUAAGCAUAUCAAUAAGCGGAGGAAAGAAACUAACAAGGAUUCCUUAGUAACGGCGAGUGAAGCGGGAAGAGCUCAAAUUUGAAAUCUUCAAGGUUUGACCUUGACGAAUUGUAGUUUAUAGAAGUGUUUUCUGUUGGAGUUUUGGUAAAAGUUCUUUGGAAUAGGACAUCAUAGAGGUGAGAAUCCCGUAUUUGACCAUGACUUUCCAGCUGUGUGAUACACUUUCAAAGAGUCGGAUUGUUUGGGAGUGCAGUCCAAAAUGGGUGUAAAUUUCAUCUAAGCUAAAUAUUGGCGAGAGACCGAUAGCGAACAAGUACGUGAGGGAAAGAUGAAAGAACUUUGAAAAGAGAGUUAAACAGUACGUGAAUUGUCAAAGGGAAGCGUUUGACACCAGUGUUGUUUUCUCGAAAUCAAUUUAAUGAGUUCUUGUUUUUAAGUUAUUGUGACUUUAUCAGCGCAUUCUUAUUUUACUUGACUCAUUGAAUGCACUUUUCGUUUAACAGUCAACAUCAAUUCUUUGGUGGUAAAAAGUUUAAAGGAAGGUGGCUUGGACUUCGGUUCAAGUGUUAUAGCCUUUUUCUAUGCCAUCGGAGAGAUGAGUCUGCAGCGUAGAUCCUUCGGGUUAGAUACUUUGUGCUAAGUUAUAGUUUUUUAUAGACAACUUGUUGACUAUAAUUAACCCUGUAAUUUACUCGCUUAGGCUAUUUACCU